This 991-nucleotide long non-coding RNA is filed under the name Rhinopithecus bieti (black snub-nosed monkey). RNAcentral describes it as "lncRNA (ENSRBIG00000045993.1)". Lineage: Eukaryota; Metazoa; Chordata; Mammalia; Primates; Cercopithecidae. The record is from RNAcentral.
UGUUCAGGUUUUAGAUCCUGACCUGAAUUUUAGAAUAAAUAUACAAAAAAGGAUUUUUUUUUUUUUUUUUUUUAGUUCAUCUAGGGGUGAUUGAGGCUACAAAAUUUAUGCCACGUUUUCAACUGUCAAGGCUGCUUUCAGAAUCCAGAGGAGGCCUGGGAAGAACUUCAGCAAGGUCUUGCUGGGAUUUAGCCCCCUGAAGUAUAGAAGAUGACACUUGCUGACAGGGGAGGAAACCGAGGAGGCAGCACAGAGGAGGAUGGUGUUUGUGCAGAGAUGAGAGGGGUGCAGCUCACCAACCCCAAGGAGUGUUCCAUGCCAGAGAUGGAAAGGGACAGCUAGGACAUUAUCCCAGACCCCUCCAUAUCUCCUCCAAACAAGCAGGCCUCCAACUCCAGUUCAGGAAAUUGGCAGCUCAUAAAGGAUGAGUUGAUUUAGAGCCUUUCCCUGUGAAGAGGUUGGAAGAGCCAGGGUUCAAAGGCUUUGAGAUAAACCAACAACUGGGCCCCUGCUGGGAAGUCAUCAGUGCUUGAGGGUCCCAUCCAUUACUUUUGUAAAGACACAUACUCUGUGGACUUAUAAAUAAAACCUCAAAGGUGACGACAAUCCAGCAGCUGUGUAGAUGGUUGCAUCCUUAUGAACUGUGGACAGAAGCUGAAGUGGACAGGAGUCAGGGCAACUUUCUGGACAGCAGAUUCAACCUGUUUCCUAGACUUUCCAUCACCACCAGUGAAUUCCGAGUGACAGUAGUAUGGAAUUUGGAAGAAUGGAAGAGAAACUUAAGUAGAGAGAUGGUGAAAGAGAAGAAAAAAUGAAGAAAGAUGCUUGCAAAAAUACUGCCAUGGGUCCUGAGAUGAAGAUUCUGGGAUGGAGCUUGCAAGACCCGCUGGUAAAAUUGAAGACUAAUCCAACGAAGAAAGAAUCUGCACCUUGGGAGGGACAGCUGAGUAUCACGGCCAACACUUGUUCCCGGGGUUCCUUUUUCCCUUGA